RNAcentral lists this non-coding RNA (175 nucleotides) under Tissierellia bacterium. RNAcentral describes it as "6S RNA". It matches the Rfam family "6S / SsrS RNA". From Rfam's summary of the family: E. coli 6S RNA was the first non coding RNA to be sequenced, but its function was unknown until recently. It consists of 184 nucleotides that fold into an extended hairpin structure with a large single-stranded internal bulge. Lineage: Bacteria; Bacillati; Bacillota; Tissierellia. The record is from RNAcentral.
GAUAUACUGUUUUGUUUGUUUGUUCGCUAUAAUUCAACCGACAAAAUUUAUACGGGAGUCCGAUUGUACUGGUUGGGAUAAAAUGCCCUUAGGGGACUUUAGAGUAAUUGGUCAGGACACCCACCUGCUUACCGGCGGGGUGAAUUAUUAGAAUUGACGGCACGACGGUAUAUUU